This 395-nucleotide ribosomal RNA is filed under the name uncultured bacterium. RNAcentral's name for it is "partial 16S ribosomal RNA". It matches the Rfam family "Bacterial small subunit ribosomal RNA", at positions 523 to 918 of the family's 1533-position model. The record is from RNAcentral.
AUACGUAGGGUGCAAGCGUUAAUCGGAAUUACUGGGCGUAAAGCGUGCGCAGGCGGUUUUGUAAGACAGAGGUGAAAUCCCCGGGCUCAACCUGGGAACUGCCUUUGUGACUGCAAGGCUAGAGUACGGCAGAGGGGGAUGGAAUUUCGCGUGUAGCAGUGAAAUGCGUAGAUAUGCGGAGGAACACCGAUGGCGAAGGUAAUCCCCUGGGCCUGUACUGACGCUCAUGCACGAAAGCGUGGGGAGCAAACAGGAUUAGAUACCCUGGUAGUCCACGCCCUAAACGAUGUCAACUGGUUGUUGGGUCUUCAUUGACUCAGUAACGAAGCUAACGCGUGAAGUUGACCACCUGGGGAGUACGGCCGCAAGGUUGAAACUCAAAUGAAUUGACGGGG